CUGGCUCAGAGAAUCAUGGGGACAGUCAUGCCCAGGAUGCAGGGCCUGGUUCCAGAGGCCUUGGAAGCUGAGAUGAAGUCCCCAGGCAACAGGAACUGUGAGAGGUCCCUGCUUGUGGGGGUCCUGUGGUGGGAGGUGGUUUAAGGGAACUGGUCUGGGGUUGGGAUGGAGAUGCCUAGAAGAAGGAGUCGGUUAUAACACUCCACAGGCAGAGAGAGAGAAGUGGGAGACCACCAGGGUGGGCUGGGGAAGUAGGAGGAUCACAAGUGGAAUCACACACCCAUGGCCCUCCGAAGCCCGGUGAGUCGGCAGUCAGGGGUGCAGUCAUCCUGCUCUCGGUUACUCUAGGUUUUAGAGCACCACCAGCCCAGCGACCACGAGACCCCAGCUUCCAGAAGACCGGACAGUCGGGCCUUCUGCCACCCCGUGAUCUUCCGCCCUUCCCUCCAUAUCCAGAGACACCGUCCCACCCUGGUCUCCAGGAGGUAGGGCCCAAGCACAGCGAUUGUGACACUGUGCUUGUGUGUCAUCUUGUAACUGGGUUUCCACAUCCUCCUGGCUAUAUUGUAAAAGCCCUAGAAGAGGAACAAGAGCAAAUAAUGAAAUAUAGGAAUGCAGGAAAAGAGGAAGCCGCCGCGAGAUACCAGCCCAACCGAAAUACAAAGAAUUAUGGAGAAGUGACAGAAAGGGAAGUAAGAGUAAGGAAUUGCAUUGAGUAGCUUAGCAGAGUGCGUGCGCACACACACAGACAAAGCCAUGCACACGCACAGACACACAGCCGUGCACACACAGACACACCCCACAGACACACAUGUACACACAGACACACACAGAAACACAGGCACAAAGACACACUCACACACUCUCACAAAUUCACACACACACAGCCUUUCUUGGGUCUAAAUUAAACUGCUAGAAGAGUAUGAGCUCAUAGUUGUCAGCCUUGGAGGGACAGUAACAAGUUCACUCUAUGGUCCAGAUGGCUGAGAGAGAUCAUCCAAGUGCGCUGGCUCCAGACCAUCUGUCCCCACAGGGUACUAGAUCCAGAAGUUCCUGAUAGUUCUAGAAGGCCAUUCUGUUAUUUUUCUUUUGUAUUUAAAAAGCCAGAGUUAAAAUAUGGUAAAACUUCCUUACAUUAUAAUCAAAAACUUAAUUUUAGGGCUGAGACGCAAAGUGGACUAAUGGAAAAGAAAACAUAAAUCUAUCGGGGUAGAUGCGUUUAGGGACCCCCACAUCAUUUUUUAAGCGAGGAAAACAGGCAAGGAGAGAAAAGCCUGAAACUGAGGGAAAAUGAGAACAACACAGUGAAUUAACCCAUCUGUGGCAUUUUCUGUUCGUGGAGAUAACCAGUGGCAGAGCUCUGAGUCAAAGACAUCCCCACUGAAGGAGCGUGGAAGUUGCUGAGAAAAAGUCCUUAUCUAGCAUUUUCACAGGCAUGUGGCAGGAGGGGCAGGACAGCCGGGAGGCCUCCAGCCUGCUCUGCUCACUGUGGCCUCGGAGUUCACAGGGAACGCUGCCUCCCUAGGGCAGGUUUUUAAAUGAAUGCACCGCUUUCCCUCUUCCUUAUUUUCCAAGAGAAACACUGGCUAGCCCCAGAACUCUCAUUGUUCUUAGAGGAAACUGCUGAAUAUCUGUUGGAAUUAAAAUUUGACUGGGACUUUCUGAGGACUGUUUCUUUCCAUUUAUUUAUUUAUUUAUUUAUUUAUUUAUUUAUUCGCAAGCUAACACAUUAAACUUUGGAGUGAAUUAAGAGAGACUGCAGAUUCAGUAAAAUUUGGACAAGAGCAUUGGCCACAGCCUCUUAGCACGCAGCCCAGUGGGCACAGGGUUUCCAGUGGAUGGUGUGGCCCUGCAGAGCGGGGCACACCUAGCCAGGACUCUCUUGUGCUCUCGCCUCCCAUCCGGCGGCCAGGCCUCAAGGCGGGCGUUGGCCGGUACCCCAACCCAUCCUUAUACAUGACACUGACUGCUCUCAACCCCUCAAUAGCUCACUGAUAAUGAUGACCACUCUGCAAUCCAGCUGGCUAGGCAGGAUCAUCCGAGUGCACCCAGGACCAUCUGCUCUCACAGGGUACUAAAUCCAGAACUUCCUGAUAGUUCUAGAAGGCCAUUCACAGGUGCCCUUCCCCAUGUGAAUUUCCGCCUGUUGGGAAGCAGAGCUCACACAUCUCAGUCAUUUGCCUGCAGAAUGGAGGAGGCUUCUCAAGAUUUGCCUGAUGGAGACUGAGGCCACUGGGGAGAGAGGCAUGAGGCUGGUCAUCUCCACCUUCCCCCAAGACCCAGGCCUGUCCCCCUCCUCACCUGAGGACUCUGCCUCAGAAGCUUCCUAUGGGAAUCUCCUGAACAGGUGUCACAAAAGGCAUUGCCACGCAUUAUGUAUUGUUCCUACCCAAAGUGACGUUUUUGACGCUGAAGCAUAGUACUGAUGCUGUCCAAAUGCAUCACUGAAAUCCUACGCUUGAGUAUCUUCCCUUCUAGAUAAACUUCAGGGCAUUCAACAAGCUGGAGGGGAGGUCUAAGUUUCUGCACUAACCACUCUCCAUCCCCAUCAUGGGGAGACAGCCUGGUGACCACAGGGCCUGUAACCAACGGUAUGGGUUGGUUACUUUAAAAAUUCUUCACCAAUACUAGGGAAAAGACAAGCAGAAAUGCUAGAGAGGGUAAUGGAAGACCCGUGACUCCAGGAUUUUGGUGUUCUCUUUUUGGCAAGAGUAUUUCUCAUCUCUCAACCUUGACUUUUUGUUCUCUCUUAAAAAACAAAAACGUACAGUACAAAGACUGCUGCCCUGUCUUUCUGCCUUGUAGUAUCUCCUGCCAGCCACCUCUUAGGCUCCCUUCAGGCCUGUGUUCAAUAACGGGGGCACCCAGAGCCCUCGCCCCAGCUCUGCCCCUUGCUUGAUGUCUGCCCUGUGCCUGGGAGGCUUUGGAACGGGCUCUGUCCACACAGGUGCAGCCAGAAAGCAGAAUGAUGCUCACCUCCGCCAGGCUGCCCUGGCUAGUGGGGGCUCUGGUGGGAUGGAAGCCCGGGCACCCACAGCAGUAACCAACUGGAUGACACACCUUUGCACUGGUUUUCCAUUUUCAUCCUCCUCUUCUCCCCAGGAUCACCGUUCAUGAACCAGCUGCUCACAGCACCUGUGUUGGGCUUGCUGUGGAGGGUGCCUAGGCUGCAAGAACCACUGAUCCUUCCACACCAGGGAGAACUGCUAAAGACGCACCUUGCAGGCACAGAAGGGACACCACACCUGGGGCUUUUAAAUCCUGAGUCACAGAUGAACCUGGCAGAGCACACAAAUCAGCGCCCUCCAGGAUGAUGCUAUGGGGGGAAUUCUGCCUCCUCUAUGUUCUGACAUCAUUCCAACCUUUACUAAGAUCCCAGCAUCCUGGCUUGGGGCCUCCCUGGGUCCCAGUGUGGCAUGAAGGGUCUGCUUCUUGUAACAGAGGUGCUGGGGGCAGGGGGACCCGGGACAACAGCAACUUCCUGCAGAAAACAGGCACAGGGCCCUCAGAAAUGUGAUACUCCUGGAGAGAAAUAUGUAAAAGGAUUGUGGGAUCAUGGAUACAUUUUAAUAAAUGCGAGUGUUUGUGACUAGUACAUCUAGAGAUUCGCUGAAAAGAGAGCCCCUUGAAUAAAAAGGACACAGUUGAAGAUUCUUCCUGGAGCAAAAGUGGCAUCUACUGGCCCCUGGGCUCUUCACAGCCUCGGGGGCUGACCCACCUGAGCUCACCUGGAAGCUCUGACUCUUCCGGCCAGGAUGUCCUCUCCUGCAUCACUGGAGGAUUAGCCUGGAUGGUUAGCCCUUCUCUCUUAUAAGGGUGACAGCAUGGCAGGAGGUGAGGAUAGAGGGAGGAGGGCAACUUCUUUUUCUCUUCUCCCUCACAGGGCCACAACAUCCAUUGCAGAAACAAGAAAGGAGGGGCCAGCAGGCGCAGGUGGCUUCCAGACCUCAGGCCUUGCAGGAGGUGUUAGGGCAGGGGAAGGAGCUUUUGGCUGAAACUGCUCAUCAUGGCAAGAGUGUGGCUGGCAGAACUGAGGAAGAGGAAAGGCAGCUUGCUUGCUCUCUCUCUCUAAAUGCAAGUGCCCUGGAAGCUUUGGAAACAUGGAGCUGCAAAUUCUGCUGAAUGUUGGUGGAAGGGAAGGGCCCCAUUGCUCUCCCUGCCUCCUGUGCCUGGGCUGUGGCACAGCAUCCUAGCAGACCACUCACUGGGCAGCCCCUCAGGCUUCUCCAGCUCUUUCUUUCAUGUCUUUCUGUGUCUUCUAUGAAAAGAUUCUACCAUAAGAUCUAAGCAAGGGUAAGCAGGGGAAAAGAGGCGUGGACAGCCAUCACCUGGCUUAUGAGCAAUAUUUCAUUUGCAGAAAACAAAGUAUAAAAAAAUUCUUAAAAUAUGUAAGAGAGGAAAAUACAAAUAUGUGUAAUUCAUAGAAAGUCUUACCUUAUGCAAGGAUAAGAUAUACAAAUUUAGGAUAGUGAUUAUGCCAUGAUAUGUCAUGGCUGAGGGCCAAGUAAAAUAAAUUUCCUAAUAAAUAAUAAAAACACAUUUAUACAUUAGAUAAAAAUGUCAUUAGUAUUUGAUUUCAACUUGGAGGCUUCCUUUAAGUGAUAGAAGCACAACAAAAACUUAAAAUGAAAAAACUGAAGAGAGACCGAAGAGGUUGAAAAUGUCACCGCUUUGGUCUCAUUCUGAAACACUAAACUUAAAAUAUAUAAACUUUAAGAUCAACAGAAUCACCAGCCAAUCCCAUCCCGUCCCAUUGACAUUAUUCUUACUCAGAAGUUGUACACAUCAUCCAUAUCAGCUAGUGAUGAUAGGUCAAGAAUGAGAAAGAAAGUAAAACUGAUCUCUGAGGUAAUCAACCAAAAGAGAAGCAAAAAACCCUUGACCUAAAAUUCAUGCAUUUACUCAUGGGCAAGUCCCUCAUACACUCUCUCGGCACUUACACACACUCUCUUUAGGCACAGUUGUAAAAAUGAUUAAAUGGUUCUUUCUUAUUGUAAUUCCCAGCAGAUUAGAAGUAGCAAAUUAGAAUGCAGAGGAAGAGACAGAUAAUACUAUCCAAGCAGAUAAGAGAAUUCAAAGCCAGGAUCAUUUAGGGUACAGCUAUUAGCUCUCUAUGCACAAUGACUUUUCAGAAGUGAGGUUCAGGACCUAUGGCCAGGGAAACACAAGUGUACUUUCUGGCUGAAAGAGCACUACACAGUUGAAAUCUGGACUGUUGUGGAAACUGUAGAAGUCAAUUUCUCUGCUGCAUUGGAGGCAACAGAAAUGUGUGCUGAAGGAAUGAAUAAGAAAACUAAUAAACUGAUAAUACAAUCUUCUCUGCUUAAGGGGUUUAUAAUUUACUGUGUGUGCCCACAAAUUAACUCCCUGUAAUGCCAGAGCUAGUAUUUAGGAUAGUACUUUUGAGCUAAGAAGAAAAGACUGAAGCGUUUUCAAGAAAGUCUUUAAAGAAUCUUGGCAUGGGGGCGGGGGGGAAUUGUUAGUAGGUUCUAGGAAGAGUCCUCAUCCAAAAGUGUUAAAAUACACAAGAAAUAAAAUGAGGUAGGCUUGAGCAGUUUAGAAAAUUUAGUCUUGAAAUGCUCCUUCCCCUAAAUGCUGGAUUAAGGUAAUACUGGCCAAGGUAGCCUCCAAACGUGUGAGCAGGAGUGUGAGGCCUGACAUAGCCCCAGAUAGUGCAGGGGCUCUAGAAAAAUCUUUGUUGCAAUGAAGGGCUCACUGGCCAGCUAGCUGAAUGAUUUCAUACAUGAACAGGGCAGCACAUUUUACUUCACAUAUCCAUUUCUGAGCAAAGAUAUUGUUGAUUUGAUUGCAACUAUGUUCAAAGCGCACAAAUCUCAGGUGGGGUAAAUGAGGUUGGUGUGACUGCUUCCAGGGUCCUGCUGCCGGGAAAGUAGAUAUGGAGGAAACACAGAACAUUCUGAGAUGAAAAACAGGAAAUGGGUGAAUUCAGUGCCCCUUCUGGGAAAUGAUGAAAUGAAAUAUGUUUUAACCUUAAGGUGUAAUCAUGCAAAACUUAGUUUAUCAAGGUUACUAAGACAUGAUUUUACAUCAAGAUAAGUGACUUUUUAAAAUUAAAAAAUCCAAUUUACAUAAUGGUUAAAUCUACUCCCAAUAUCAUAAAAAUAUAAUGGUUAAAUCCACACCCCCACUCCCCAUAUUAUAAAAACUGCAUUAAAAAAGAGAGAGCAUGUAAUGAACAAUUGAGAUGUGGUAAAUGUUUUGGUGAUCUUAAAUCCAAACUAAUGAAGUCUAUAGUUAAUUGGCUUCCACUAUUUUAUUCCGAGAGGUAACACACGAACUGAAUUAAACAAUUAAGAGUUACUGUGUUAAAAUAUAAACCUCUUUUGCUAGAAUGCAUAGCUAGUAUUUAAACGCAGGUCUUAAAUUGCUAAAUACAGAAAACAGAAACACACUUGGCUCCCUGGGUCCUUGGCCCCAGCGCAGCUGAAUGUGAGACUGCCUCUGAGUCAACCCGGGCAAGCCAGCACGCAGGGAUAAAGCGCUACCAGAGCCCAGCUUGCUCUGCUAUUUCUUUCACAGAUUGACACCCGGCAGUUGUACAAAUCAUACCAAAGAUCUACAUUUAUGAGUAACCAAUGCAAAUGAGAGGGAAUGAAAGAACAGAAAUGAUGGGAAAUCUAACAGCAUAAUAUGUUCACACUUCAGUGACACAUUUCUAACGGUUAAGCACAAGGCAGAAUUAUCUGUGCACGAGGUGAGGUCGUCGUUAGAGUCCACUGGUGUAACGUGCCGUCAGAACCCAAUUUAUCCUCACUCAUCUGCCUGCCUCGGAAUCCUGCCCCAAGAUUCUCUACCCAGCUGCAAAGUCACCUGCAGCAAACUCUCUUUCAAAAUCAGUGGGGAGGGCAUGGGUUAUGGGUGGGUUCAGAAAUGCUACCUGUUCAGUUCACUAAAUUCCCAGAUGGGCUCUGAAAAUCAAACUUAGCAUCUGCACCGUGAAAGCCAAAGGUGACUGGAAACAGUGGUGAGGGGAACAUCUGUACAGGCUUCUUGAGAAACAGAGUCAGGGACCAGCCUCUGGAGCUGGGCUCCACCUCAAAGAGGGAAUGUGCAGACCCUGUGGGUGCUGGAUUCAGGUCUGCAUCACAGGAUGUCAGACCACGGUCCCUUCAAGGAUACAGCAUCAACAUGUGCUGGUCAGAGAGUGGGCAGCCGGCUCCAGGCCUCCCAGCGGACGGUGGUGGCCAUGGGAUUCAAGCCCAGCCUGCAAGGCCCACCCCGGGGCUGCCCCACCUCCCUACACCCUGCUGCCCCUCUUCCCAUGUCUGCUGAGACAUCUCUACUGAUGUGGGGGUGAUUUCAUGUGUUUCUCAGAGCUUCUUACAUCUAAGUUUGGAAUUUUCAAACCUACGGCUUUCUGAAUGAAUUUAUAAAGUGAGUAAGACACUGUCUUGUUUCCAAAGUCUUGACUGAAACUUUGCAUGGAGGGUGCUCAUAGGUUUCAGCCUUAUUUUUCAUAGACCCAAUAACAUGUUUUAAAACAUAAGCAUGAAUGCCCUCAAUGUGACAGGGUUUUCACUAGGAUGGUACUUCCUAUAAGAUUUAUUGAUAAAAUGCAAUAGAAUAAAUGGUUCCAGCUAGCUAUCAUUUUGGGGUAAGUUACCCCAAUAACUCCCCACCCAUUCCCCAUCACCCCCAUGCCCACUCAGCUUAUAGACUGGGUGGCUGUUACUGCCUGCAGGAUAGACUUCUGGAAGACCUCCCUGCUGCCAGCCCUCCCCACAGGGUCUGUCCCCUUGGCCCACGAUAAACCAAAGCCGGCGGUGAGGCUUCCAUGGCUAAACCUGCUCUUCCUUGGUCCACGUUUUGUUCCCACUCCCUGUUCCUUUUCCCCAUCCAUCUCUUCUAAAAUCCUACCCAUUCUUAUAGGUACAUAAUACACGUCCUAUCUUCUAAAAAUUCCAUGCGCUUCUCAUCAAAACUGUUUUCUCUCCUUGCUUAUUUUAUAAAGACUCAGGCCAUUUCUUAUUCACCUUCCUUACUCCUCAUUACACACUCAACAAACACUUCGCAAGAAAAACUAGACUGGAUAGUAGCUAUAUAGUCAGAUUUCCCUAACAGUUUACUAGUGCUAUUUAGAACACAACACCAACAUGUCUCAGUAUGUUAUUCAGCUAAUAGUUGAUCUUUUGGUGGCAACAAAGGCCAUGAACACACAGGCCUACACUAGACAGUGGUAAUGACUAAGAGUUAAAGAGCAAAAGAUUUAUAAUCAGAAGAUGUGGGUUCAUACCAGUUGUGCGAUGGGAAGAUCAGUUCAUUAACCUCCGUUCGUGUUAUAAACUGGCUGACCCCAUGACCAAGCAGGAGGCUGGCGAUGCUAAGUAGCACCUGCCACCUCUAGGCCAUGCUGGAGACUGGACCUGUGCCAGGGACCUUCCUCAUCUGUGAAGCAUAGAAAGGGCCAUGCCUGCCCAUGACAAGGACCAAAUAACAUAAACUGCCCCACGGCCAGUGGGGCCUAUCUCCUUUGUUGAAGGACAACUCUCCUUAGCAUCUGUAGUGCAUGGUUCUGGUGCAUUUUAUUCAAUGAGUGGGUACAUCACUGUGCAAAAUAACAAAUCGCUUGUUGAGAUUGCUCUGCCAUGACCAUCUCAAGUGCUGCCUUGUUUGUUUAUUUUUUACUAUGUCCAUCUUCAGAAGAGUUGCUGACUUAACAAUAUCUGGCAUGGUGGUUCACUUUGCUCAUUCUCGAAACAAAAUGGUGGCCUGUCUCAUUGUUCAAGUGGGCAGGGCCUCUGCUGCGGCUGUGGAUGAUGUCCAGGGUCUGAAAACCACUAUGUUCUUGCUCUAAUCUUGGUCCCAUAGCAAUAAGGAAGCAGCAUCUUAAGGAGGUGUUUUACCUCAAAGAAUGUCCCAAAAAUAACUGUUUCUCAUUGAACAUAGCUCACACUCAUUUUCCUUUUAGAAGUGAGAAUUCUGCUAAUAGCCAACGUGUGGGGCAUCUUACAAAAUCAAUAAUCAACAAACGCCCCUCUCCUUCUCCUUCUUCCUCAGCUAGGACUAACAUGGAUUCUGGAAGAGCCAGAUAUGUCAUGUCCGGAGGCAACAAUUUAAGACUUCAAAGAAUUUAUUUUUCUGACAAACUUAAAAAAUGAAUUUCUUUCACUAUCUAACAAUUAUGCAGUAUGGCUGACUGAUGGGAUAUCAAAGGAGAUUUCUCUCAAAAAAGGAAUUCUCUUGGAAAUGUCCCUGGCAUAUCAGCGGGAAAACCUGUGAUUUUCUUUAUUCUUUUGAAAUAAAGGGCAUACUUCACACUUUGGUUACACUAAAAUGUCCCUUGGUCCCCUGCAUGGCCCCCUGCUCUGUGGUCCCCUCUGUGUACCUUGCAAAGUGGGCCUCCCUGGUAUGAGUCGGGGAAAUGGGAUGGGUGUCCAUCUGCAGCACAGCUUGGUUCAAUGCAAACACGAGGGUUGCACAGAGCGUCACAAAGAGCCGUCCGCAUACCUAUUCUCACGAAGCACACUUUCUCCCUGGUUUCCCUUUCACUUAAGCUUUCUAAGAAAUCUUUCCGUAUCGAUGGUAAUCCUCCUGCCCUUGAGUGACUUGUGGAAUCAUGUGACACGCGUCAAACAUGUAAACUGAGCUCCAGGAAUUCUGGAUUUCAGGAGAGGACUGAUUUCUUUCAAAGUGAUAUUUCCACUCACGAAAAUAAAAACGAAAUUCAAUUAAAAAUUGGACAGACAAAGCUACUUAUAAGACUAGUGUCAAUGGAUAAAGUAAAGUAGAAGUCAAGGAGGGCUCCUGGGGAGACAAUGGCAUGUUUUCCUGCUUGUGCUCAGGUGCAUUGUGGGAUUUUUGCCCACUUUAGGCAACUCGCAAAAACUUGGUUUCCAAUGGUUUAAAGAGUAUGACUUUGACUUUAAGCUUGGUUCAAAGUCAUGAUGAACCACCGUAAACUGUUUCUCCUUCUGCGAGUGCUUGUGCAGACAGGGAGGACAGGGAUCUCAGAGGCUCUAGGAUCUGAUCCUUAUCAGAGAUCAGACCAGGAGGCAGCCCUUGCAGCUCAGGUAUGCUAACUUUAUCUUUUUCCAUUAUUAUUUUAACAGAUUAGUAGGCUGUUUCCAAAAAAGGCUCUGUUUUUAACUAGGCAUCUCAUGGAGCUGUGGAAAUAGCAUCUCAAGGACAGGAAUGCUGUCUUAUUUAUCACUGUCCCUGUAACUAGCACAUACAGUAUUUCCAAAAGAUCUUAACAGGCUGAAAUGAAAUACACUGAACCAAAUGAGAUAACGAUAAUUGCCAGAUCCUACCCUUCCCUCCAAAUAUCAAAGGCACAAAUACAAGAUGCAGGAGAUAAUGUCUUCAGGGCUGUUCCUGAGAAACUGACUCAUGAGUUCUCAGUUGACAGUUAACAUGGGUCGUGGCUGCAAAGAUCGAACACAAUUUUAUAUGUGCACAUGUGCCCCAUUAGGAGGAGCAAGGAAGGUGUUAUUCCUGCUCAGCUCUCUGCCCCUCAGAAAUGGAAUAGUAAAUAAAGUUGGGAAGCAUGGAAAAUGAGUUUAAUAUGCCAUGCUUUCUCAGACUAACGGCAGUGAGUCAUGUGAAAUUACACAGUUAGCUUUGGCAAACUGUUUCCCAUUAUGCCCUGAGGGGGAAGGUACACUUACACACAGAAGAGCUCCUUUCGAGGCAGGGGAUGGGAUUUCUUUUUCAUUCUGCAUUCCCUGGAAAGACCAGGAAGGCCCUUUGGGUGCAAUGUUCUAGGAAGGACUUGGGCACAUUGAAGAAUGCCAGGGAAGAGUGAGACCAGCAAGAAAAAGCAAGGCAAAGGCAUCAUGGUGUUUAUUUCAUCAUAUGCUGAGGAAACCAACACACUUUAGCCAGGAGAACGGGCUAUUUAGAGGGCUUUGUAGAGCUGUUGUCAAUGAUUUGAAGGGCUGAACUGCUUGAGAGAAGAGAAAGUAGUUACACUGCAGACAUCUGCAGGGCUGGCUUUAGAGACAAGCAGAUUUAGUUCAGGGCUUUUGUAACAAUCAGUGCUUCCGUAAGUGGGCUGCCUCCUGAGGGUUCUCAAUAGGCGAGGUGAUCACCUGUUAAGGAUGCUUAGGAAGAACUUAUGCACUGGGGCCUGAUGAUCUCUCGACAGCCUUCCAUCCAGUAUGUUUUAUGAGACUGGGGAUCUCUGUGCACAGCAGCAACAUAACAUUGUUCAAACACACCGUGCACAUGGCUAGCUCUGUGGGCAGCGGGGGUGGGAUGAAGUUGUCUGCACUAGAAUCUCUUCUAAAUUUCCAUCUGUUUCAUGCACAUGCAGACAGAAGCUAUUGCUCCCCUUUCCACUAGGAGAACAGUCAGACUGCAGUCAGUGCAUCCCACAAAAGCAGUGAUGGAUUUCAGUGCAUCAAGCUAAAUAUUUUCAUGAAGUAUUUUAACUGAACCAGAUGUUCAAACCAGGCAGAACUGCCACUGCACCCGGCCCUAAAUUUUUUUGCAUUUUUAGUAGAGAUGAGGUUUCACCUUGUGGUCCAGGCUAGUCUCGAACUCCUGACCUCAAGUGAUCCUCCUGCCUCGGCCUCCCAAAGUGCUGGGAUUACAGGCGUGAGCCACAAACCAGGCAGAAUUGCUUGUGGGAUGAGGAGAUAGAUUAUUCUGUAUUUCAUUUCUAUCUUUUACCUUUUUUUUCUUUCUGCCAAGCUGCCUCCAUCUUUUCUUACACCAGAAGGCAAAUUCUUUGGCCCCAUGAAUCUCAUUCUUCUGGUUCACCCCUCUGCCUAGCAGAGUGCCUGGGCCACAACAGACAUUUAACAUGCAUCUGUCUCAUUAGCUGAUUCUCCAAAGACGGCUCAAUUUCCACCUCCCGGGGAUCCCAUGUGUUCUGGAGUGCUGACACCACUCAAAACCUGAGCUCCAAACCUAGAGUGUGGUGCAAGGCUUCCCUUUAGGUCUCUGCAGUUUGUUUAGCUCCACAACGGAACUAGGUCUUAUGUACCUCUGAUUUGCCAUGAUCUCUAGUCCAAUAUCUUGUAACUGAUUCAGUUUGUGCUUUGGAGACAAUAUGAUUCUGAGUAAUAUGUUAAUAAGCCUGCAGAUUUCUUUAUAGUUUUUAAGACUAAAUAGGAUAAAACAAAUCCAUAGUAUAUACCCAUGAAUAUUUUAGUAAGGUGGUAAUUCACUGUGGGAUGUACUAAUAAUUUCUGAGAUCCCUGGAUGCCGUCAAUUCAGAUUAUUUAUACCCUAUGGGCUGGGAGAAGACCAGAGGGUGUGACCUUCACAGACUCCAGACUUCUAAGAAUAUUUUAAUUAUAUAGCAAAGCUUAAAAUAUUCAUUCCUCUUAUUUUUCCCAUCUAUUAGGUUGGUGCAAAAGUAACCGUGGUUUUUGCUAUUACUUUUAAUGGCAAAAAUCGCAGUUACUUUUGCACCAACCUAAUAUAUUUGAUUUAAAUUUUUAGAUGAUACAUUUUAUUUUUUCCCCUCAUCUGUGUAAGCACUGCUCCUUUCCCUUUUAAGUAUUUUCAUCUCUUACUUAAAAUGUUGCUUCUUGACUUUCAAUUCCAACUAAGAUGAUUUUCUAUUUCUAUAGCCUAUCUCUUAAAAAGGUAUCAUCACAAUACACUGAAUUUAGUGUUUCUGUUAGUCAAGAUGUCAAUUACUUUUCUACUUUUAACACUGCAUUGUGUUAUGUGAUCGUGAAGCAAUUCAAGUAGAUGUAGUACCUGCCUGCAAGGAACUUGCAAUCUACCUGCACAUGAGGUACAAAAUAACGGGAGUAUAACAGCUUAUACAUGAUUGUACUUUUAGCACUGAUGCAGAGGAGUGGAAUAAUUCUAGAUGUGCUCAGAUGAACUUAGGCAAAUAGUUUGGAAGUUGUAAAAUGUGUUUCCCAAAGCACAAAAAAUAGAGAGGCAAAAUGUGGAUGACUUGCCCUGUGGGUUGGGGAUGUGUGAAGAGAAGGAACCUGGCUUAGAAACACUGCUGAUUGACUUCAUAAAGGAGUCAUUGGAAGGGACAAAGAAGUAAAGGAAGACAACAUCAGCGGAUGUGGCCUGGGUCAUCUACAUGUGAGGACAGUCACACACUAGACACAAGGCAAAAGGUGUGUCUUUUCUGACCUGGUCAUGCAGAUUAAUGAGUUUUUGAAAUACCACUUUACAUGUCAUAUACUUAGGAAAAAAUAUGAUUUCAUUCAAUGUAUUUUGCAGAUGAAGAAAGAGGAGGUAGGCCUGCCCCACACAUCCCGAUUCUGGUAAGGCAGAGAACUGAAGCUUAAACCCAGGACUUCUGCUUCAAAAUCUUUUACAACAAGCUGGGCUCACCUUCUGGAGGAUUUUUUGGGGGUUUGGGGAAAAAGAGGUGGGUAAAUUUAUAAGUCAGCUCAGAAAGCAAUUCUCACGACUUCACAAUUAAGCCUUAUUUGUGAACAAAAAAACAGCAUUCCUCAGGUUAAGUUAGCACUUUAUUCAAAGGUCUAGGCUCUAAAAGGAUUUUGGACUAUUUCUAAAAGGAAAAUAAAACCCAGACUCAAAUAUACAAAAGCAAGUGCUUGGGUCUCUGAAGGUAAUCAAAACAGGGAGAUGCAAAAUAAAUGUGAGUGAUGAAAAAAAUGCGGAUUCUCAACGUUAGGUCUUCCAGGCAUGUGUGCUGGUGCAUUAGGCCUUCAGCCCAUCACUGCUGCACUGUAUUACACUCUAGGUACACUCAGUUAAAGACAUGAAAUGACCAUAGCUAGAGACAGUAACAUUGUAACCACAGCGUGUCUUCUCCUGGCACAAGCCUCUUGUACAAAGAAGUAGUUCUCCUUGUCCACAAAUCUCAAACCAGGAAAUCCCUAAUUCAUUUAAUGAUCAGGAAAAUGCAAGAGAUUUGUGUAGUUGUGACUCUUCCAGUUACUCCCCGCUGUACCAUUAUUUUAGGUUACCUAUCACACAGGAUGGUGUGCCUGAUGGCACUGGCAGUCAUUUCUCUAUGUCUUGUAGAAAAGUUUACUCCUGGGAAAAACAAUUUGGUCACUAGUCCUUGGACCUAAGUAACAGAAUCUUGAUGAAAUGGUACCCAUGAUCAAAUGUUAAAAGGAAGAAAGGGAUGGAGAAAAGAAGAGAGGAAGGAAGGAAGGAGGAAAGGGAAAGAAAAAGGAGGAA
This 14097-nucleotide long non-coding RNA is filed under the name Homo sapiens (human). RNAcentral's name for it is "HSALNT0122632". The stretch from base 12308 to 12391 matches the Rfam family "mir-548 microRNA precursor family". The record is from RNAcentral. Lineage: Eukaryota; Metazoa; Chordata; Mammalia; Primates; Hominidae.